This 500-nucleotide ribosomal RNA is filed under the name uncultured bacterium. RNAcentral describes it as "partial 16S ribosomal RNA". It matches the Rfam family "Bacterial small subunit ribosomal RNA", at positions 30 to 523 of the family's 1533-position model. The record is from RNAcentral.
AUUGAACGCUGGCGGCAGGCCUAACACAUGCAAGUCGAGCGGAUGACGGGAGCUUGCUCCUUGAUUCAGCGGCGGACGGGUGAGUAAUGCCUAGGAAUCUGCCUGGUAGUGGGAGGCAACGUUUCGAAAGGAACGCUAAUACCGCAUACGUCCUACGGGAGAAAGCAGGGGACCUUCGGGCCUUGCGCUAUCAGAUGAGCCUAGGUCGGAUUAGCUUGUUGGUGAGGUAAUGGCCCAACAAGGCGACGAUCCGUAACUGGCCUGAGAGGAUGGUCAGUCACACUGGAACUGAGACACGGUCCAGACUCCUACGGGAGGCAGCAGUGGGGAAUAUUGGACAAUGGGCGAAAGCCUGAUCCAGCCAUGCCGCGUGUGUGAAGAAGGUCUUCGGAUUGUAAAGCACUUUAAGUUGGGAGGAAGGGUUGUAGAUUAAUACUCUGCAAUUUUGACGUUACCGACAGAAUAAGCACCGGCUAACUCUGUGCCAGCCGCCGCGGUAA